This 822-nucleotide ribosomal RNA is filed under the name uncultured fungus. RNAcentral describes it as "eukaryotic LSU rRNA". The stretch from base 217 to 370 matches the Rfam family "5.8S ribosomal RNA". Lineage: Eukaryota; Fungi. The record is from RNAcentral.
CAUUAAUGAAUUUUGAUUGGGAGUUGAUGCUGGCAGUCAUUUCUUUUGGCUGCAUGUGCUUGCCCCUAAUAAUCUUUAUCCAAACACCUGUGCAUGAUUUCGAGGGUUUCCAAGUUGACUUUGUUGUCUUCCCGGAUUCCCUUGUUUUUCCCACUUUUAUACACUGCUUGCAAUGUCGAAUGUGCUAUGUGCCGCAAGGCCUUUAACGCAAUAUACAACUUUUAACAACGGAUCUCUUGGCUCUCGCAUCGAUGAAGAACGCAGCGAAAUGCGAUAAGUAAUGUGAAUUGCAGAAUUCAGUGAAUCAUCGAAUCUUUGAACGCACCUUGCGCUCCCUGGUAUUCCGGGGAGCACGCCUGUUCGAGUGUCGUGAAAUUUCUCAAGCUAAGAUGGUUUUUCUUAGUCUUGGUGUUGGGCUCUGCCGUGUCUCUUAUUGGGAUGGCUGGCCUUAAAAGCAUUAGCUGGCCUUUAUGUGGGGCAAUUGGUUCUACUCGGCGUGAUUAAUGAUUUUGACCGCUGAGGACAUCUUUAUGGAUGGCCAGUUCUCACUUGGGUUGCUUCUAAUCUUGGUUGUACGGAUUGUUGAUCCGUGUGCCUCAUUUUUCAGCUUUGACCUCGAAUCAGGUGGGACUACCCGCUGAACUUAAGCAUAUCAAUAAGCGGAGGAAAAGAAACUAACAAGGAUUCCCCUAGUAACGGCGAGUGAAGCGGGAAAAGCUCAAAUUUAAAAUCUGGCAAUCUUUGGUUGUCCGAAUUGUAAUCUAGAGAAGCGUUUUCCGUGCUGGACUGUGUGUAAGUUUCCUGGAUACGGAACAUCACAGA